UGGUCUCAAACUCAUGAUCUCAGUUGAUCCGCCCACCUCGGCCUCCCACAUUCAGACUGUACAAAAUCCUGAGGUGAAUGGCAAGAUGGCUGAAUAAGAACAGCUCCAGUCUGCAGCUCCCAGUGAGAUCAAUGCAGAAGGCCUUCAGUACAUCUUUAUUAAUCUGACUGCCUGGUUGCAGUUACAUUUGAGAAUAAGACUGAGAUCAAAUUCCACGUUUAGAGUGAGAAAUGACUGCAGUUGAAGACUUGGUUGCAAGAGUCUAAGAAGACACCUCAGGGAGAGAGACAGGAUCCAAAACAAGAUUGCUGGCUGAGGAAUGGGACAAGUCACCAGCUCAGAAGUCUCAGGACCAGCGACAUCAAGAGCAGGAAGUGGCCAGUGCCUCAACUUCACUCCCCUCUCCCUCCUGGAACAGGCCCUCCAUCACCGUAGAUAAUUCAUGUCACUGAAUGGAACAUAGGUGAGAAGUGGGAGAAAGAACGAAAAUCUGGAGGUUGGAGGAUAAACAAACCCACAUCCUUGUGGAUGAAGAAGGAUACCAAAAACUCAUUUUCCUGGAAGGAGCAAUUUUUGAAAUCAGCUACACUGAGGCUGCAGAUUGAGUGAAGGUCUUUUCCAUGUGAAUUUGUCCUGCAUCUGGGAUAAAGGUAUAAUGAUUACCUAAAGCAUGUUCUGUUCAUGGAAGAUCACUGGAACACAAAAGACCAAGCUCACAGCAUAUUCAAGACAUCUGCUCGUAUUCCACUGGCCAAAGAAAGUGAUGUGGCCCAGCCUAAAGUCAGGAACAGGAGCAGGAGGCUUUGACAACUGAGAUCUUCGAUCAUGAGUGUUGUGAAUGCAGACGGGGUUUUGUACUCCAGGCACUGUGCUAGGCACCAGGACUAUAAUACAACUUGUGAUCUGUAGAGGAGUCAGACAAUUAUCCAGGCAUCCCAAAGAAAUGUCAAUUGCAAGCCUGGAUCCCUUUUUCCCUGGAGGCUGUUCUGAAGAUGGCACCCUACCUGCUCACCUUUUAGUGUACCUGGGCACCCAUGCCUCCAUAUGGUGACCCUCAAAUCAUACUGUAUGAAGAGCAGCUGUUUUGUCAACUAUUUUUUAAUGAGAUUUUUUUUGCUUUGGUUUAAAAAAUAGCAUAUAUUUGCGUUAGAAAAUUAGAAAUACAGAAGAAACAGAAAUAUAAAAGAAUUACCUAUAACAUGCAAAAAUGACUAGUACAAAUGUUUUUGUUUUUUUACAGUAUGUGAACAUAUUGUAUGUUUAUAUUAAUAUCCAUAGUAUUUAUUUUUGCCUACAUGUUUUACUUAACAUAUGUAGUAAGCAUUUCCCAUGUUAGUCAAAUUAUUUGUGGACAUUAUUUUUAAUGACUAUUAAUGUUAUUACUCUACAGCUUGCCGAAUAAGUCUCCUAUUAUAUGUCAUUUUGGGUCCUAGCAACAUUUUUGUGUUUAAAUCCUUGUAGCAGUUUUGACUGAUUUCCUUAAGAUAGAGUCCAAGAAGAGAAAUAAUUUGCUUGUUUGUUUAUCAUUUGGUACUUUCUUUUAUGGUAAUGUCCUUGGGGCUGAUAAUUCAGAACCAUGAAUAGAUAUGAUUCUUGUCUUUGAGGAGAUUGUAGCCUUGUGCUAGGUUAAAGAAUAGGCACGUUUUAAAGUUCUCGAUACACAUUUUCAAAGUGCUUUUCAAAAAUUUGUAUCAAUUCAUCCUUCUACUAUAAGGGAAAAUCUGUUCUGGGUUGUUUUUCUGGUAUAUCUUCCUAUUAAGAACCUGUUCUCCCUCCUGCUUUGUGACUCACAUGGAGUUGCCACUGCAUGCUAUCAUCUCCAUCCCUUAGAGCAACCUAUUAGAGAACUUACUCUCUGGAGUCCCAAAAGAGAAACAACAGCAACAACUCAGCAAUUCAUCUGGGGUCAGCGUGUUACCCAGUCUGGGCCAUUGGAGAUUUUUUUAAAGGGAAGUUUCUCCUAUUUUCUUCAAAAUUCUGAGCUGUGAAGAGGACCACUAGAAAGUUCAAUCUAUUUAUGAUUUUUUAAAAAACUGUUAUUAUAUAUAUUUAAGUGUAUGUCAUGUUUCCACACAUAUAUACAUAGUGAAAUGAUCACUGUAAUCAAGCUAAUUAGAAUAUCCCCCAUCUCGCAUAGUCACCUUUGUGUGUGAAAAGGGUUCAGUGCUUCCCUCUCCACUCUUCAUCUCCCCUUUAAAAAAGCAGAGAUGAAUGGAGAGGGAAAGGUUGAACAAUGGUUAUGUGGUGGGACUGCUGGGAUUCACCUGAGAGUUAAAACCAGCUAGUUCUACCCGUAUGUUUUUCACUUAGAUAAGCCAACAAAUUAAUUUCUUUUCCUCUAUUCUUCUUGUCUUCUUUCCUGCCUCUUUACCUGUCUCCCUUCCUUCCUCUCUUCCCACUCUCUUUCUUUCCUUAUUUAAAUUGGUUUGAAUUGAGUUUCUGACACUAAUGGAGAGUCCUUAUUGUGCCUUCACGUUAUUUUUAUCAAACCAGAAAAUGUUAAUGACAUAAAACAAUUACUGUUUGGACAAGGAAAAUUGUAUUUCUUUCCUUGAAAUUUCUACACACAUACACAUUUGUGCUUGUUAGUGAGGCUAAGCAUUUUCCCCCUUAUUUGUGAAUUAUAUAUUCAAUGUUUUGAUCCAUUUAUCAAAUAAAUUCCUUAGUUUAAAAAAUAUUUGCAGGUGCGGUUAUUAUGGAAAGCAGCAUGAAGUUUCCUCUAAAUAUUAAAAAUAGAAUCACCACAUGACUCAGCAAUCCCUCCUCUCUAUAUAUUUUUAAAGGAAAUGAAAUCAGCACUUCAUGGAACUAUCUCCACUCCCGGCUGGGCGCAGUGGCUCACGCCUGUAAUCCCAGCACUUUGGAAGGCCAAGGC
This 2875-nucleotide long non-coding RNA is filed under the name Homo sapiens (human). RNAcentral's name for it is "HSALNT0298372". The record is from RNAcentral. Lineage: Eukaryota; Metazoa; Chordata; Mammalia; Primates; Hominidae.